UAAUACGUAGGUGACAAGCGUUGUCCGGAUUUACUGGGCGUAAAGAGCGCGCAGGCGGUCGUUCAAGUCGAGUGUGAAAGCCCCCGGCUCAACUGGGGAGGGUCACUCGAUACUGAUCGACUCGAAGGCAGGAGAGGGUAGUGGAAUUCCCGGUGUAGUGGUGAAAUGCGUAGAUAUCGGGAGGAACACCAGUGGCGAAGGCGACUACCUGGCCUGUUCUUGACGCUGAGGCGCGAAAGCUA
This 242-nucleotide ribosomal RNA is filed under the name uncultured bacterium. RNAcentral's name for it is "partial 16S ribosomal RNA". It matches the Rfam family "Bacterial small subunit ribosomal RNA", at positions 521 to 762 of the family's 1533-position model. The record is from RNAcentral.